CCUACGGGCGGCAGCAGUGAGGAAUAUUGGUCAAUGGGCGUAAGCCUGAACCAGCCAAGUCGCGUGAGGGAUGAAGGUUCUAUGGAUCGUAAACCUCUUUUAUAAGGGAAUAAAGUGUGGGACGUGUCCGAUUUUGUAUGUACCUUAUGAAUAAGGAUCGGCUAACUCCGUGCCAGCAGCCGCGGUAAUACGGAGGAUCCGAGCGUUAUCCGGAGUUAUUGGGUUUAAAGGGUGCGUAGGCGGCCUUUUAAGUCAGCUGUGAAAGUCUGUGGCUCAACCCUAAAAUUGCCGUUGAAACUGGCAGGCUUGCGUUUGUUUGAGGCAGGCGGAAUGCGUGGUGUAGCGG
This 346-nucleotide ribosomal RNA is filed under the name uncultured bacterium. Its description in RNAcentral is "partial 16S ribosomal RNA". It matches the Rfam family "Bacterial small subunit ribosomal RNA", at positions 338 to 681 of the family's 1533-position model. The record is from RNAcentral.